UUUGUGGUAGAUUACGGACAGCAGGAAUCACGAGAACUCACAAGAACCCGCAGAUUCACGUUCAAUCAUACGAUAACGAGUUGUCUCUCUAAAGACAGACACAUAGACAUAUAAGCAGUAGAUUGUGUCCUUCCAGAGGAGGAAAUCUACUUCUAGACUUCUAGAAUCAGCAUCUCCUCAUCCAUGGUGUCAUCGGGGUGAAAUGACGUCUAAAAACCUUUCACUUGUUCGUCUCCGCCCGUUUGCAUGGUGUGAAAUACGAUCCUCCUGAAACACAGAGUGUUUUAUUUUGAAAAGAAGCCGGAUGUUUUAUUUUGAAAAGAAGCCGGAUGUUUUAUUUUGAAAAGAAGCCGGAUGUUUUAUUUUGUGUCUGUGCCCGACUUCCUUUCCAGCACGGGUUAAUCUGUGCUGAAUUUAUCCGCCAUGCUCCGGCGUCCGGAAAAAAUAGAACUCUUGUGAUCAGCUGAGGAGUCCGGCGAUCCGCAGAGGAACAGAAAGAAGUC
Molecule: non-coding RNA, 503 nt
Organism: Xyrichtys novacula (pearly razorfish)
Lineage: Eukaryota; Metazoa; Chordata; Actinopteri; Labriformes; Labridae
Source: the annotation of a GenBank genome assembly